RNAcentral lists this long non-coding RNA (7716 nucleotides) under Nicotiana benthamiana. RNAcentral's name for it is "long non-coding RNA (NBEN_LNC004999)". The record is from RNAcentral. Lineage: Eukaryota; Viridiplantae; Streptophyta; Magnoliopsida; Solanales; Solanaceae.
AGAGGAUUCAACAAGAGUCUACUGUGGUUGAGGAAAAUAGAGUACUGAAACAAAAAAUGACUGAAAUGUGUCAAGCAUGGGCCAACGGCCAAGGACCGCCCUUUCUUCUCAUGGUUUCCCAUAGUUCACACCCAUCUCGACUACUUCCAUUCCAUUCUCAUUAUCUGAUCAAUCUUUGGAUUUAGUCAUUAUCCCAACAGUACGACUACAGCUAGAACGUUUGUUUCAUGCUCUCAAAGUUUGUCAUUGACAACCAAUAAGACAAACUCUACUGUUAUGCCUGUCUUUACCAUCAUACAAUCGACGGUGGUACAGAGGAAAACUCAUGAGCUAUAAUUUGCUACUGAGAAAGAGCAGUACCACUCGUACUUGUUUGAUAUUCCUUUAAACAUUGAGAAGCCUACUCGAAAGAUGGCACAUGAAGAAAUGACCCAAAGAAUGAAAAGCUUAGAACAACGGUUGAAAAACAUGCAAGGGUUGGCUGGUUAGAAGAACAUUGCCUUCAAGGAUUUAUUUAUGUUCCUCGAUGUCCACUUGCCACCUGGUUUCAAGACUCCCAAAUUUGAAAAGUAUGAUAGACAUGGAGAUCCCAUGGCCCACCUGAAAAGGUAUCGCAAUCAGCUAAGAGGUGCUGGACGAAAUGAAUAAUUGCUAAUAGCUUAUUUUGGGAAAAGCCUUAUGGGAGCAGCCUCCGAAUGAUUUAUGGAUCAAGAUACCUCUCACUCGCAUGUUUUUGGGAUGACAUGGCUCGGGCCUUUGUCAAAUAGAUACAACAUUGACAUUGCUCCAUACCAGAAUUCCCUUUCAAACAUGAUGAAGAAACUAAAUAAAAGUUUCAGGGAAUAUGCCAUUAAAUAGAGAGAGCAAGCUGCUAGAGUUAAGCCAUCCAUGGAAGACCACGAGUUAAUCACUGUCUUUCUUUAGGCUCAAGAGCCAAAUUAUUUUCAAAACAUGAUGUCCACAGUGGGAAAAUCCUUCUCGGAAUAAUUCAAAAUAGGAGAAAUGGUAGAGAAUGGUCUUAAGACAGGCAAAAUUAUAUGUCAAGCAGUUUUUAAAGCAGUAACUCAGGCUGUCCAGGCUGAAUCUGAUAAUUUUAGUGACACAAAUGAGAAGGAUGAAGAACUCAUGACAAUGAUAGGGUCGAGAAGAGGUCCCAGGAGAACAUCUUGAAGGUAUGAGCAGUCUCAUGAGAUUUCCCAUGACUCCUAUAAGCAUUACUAUCCACCUCAGAACACACAAUACUCUGUUGCUCCACCUCAGUAUGUGGUCUAUCGACCAAAACACUCCAGAAGGCGAGCACGAGCACCGCAAAAUUUUUAUGUGCCCUACAACCCACAUCCAAGACAGGGGUAUAGAGCAUAACAAAGGUUGAAAGAUAAUUUUACACCAAUAGGAGAGUCAUAUGCAAGCUUGUUUAAGAAAUUAAAGCAUUAUGACAUGAUUGCACCUAUUCCUCCAAAUCAUCUGGACCCACGUGCAAGAAGAUUUGACCCUUCUAAAAGGUGUGAAUACCAUGCUAAUGUCUAGGGGCACAAUGUUGAAAGUUGUUGGGAUAUGAAAAGAGAAAUUGAAAGGAUGAUCAAGGAAAAACUGAUUGUAAUCCAAGACAGUGAUACCUAGAGUAUCGCGUGGAGUCCUUUAUAUGCACAUGAUGAUGCAUGGUGACACGAAGAAUGAGAAUCCCUUCGAGAAUUCGCUGACUGAAAUUAGAGAAGGAAAUAGUGAUUAUGAUGAGCAAAGUUGUGGCUAAAUGUCAAGCUUAGCCAUUGAAAAGUCAUUCUAUCCUCACUAGGAAGGAAUCUUGGUAGCUUGUUUUGAUGUUUUUUCUGUUAUCUGGGUUAUUUUAGGGUUGUGAUCCAAUUUUUAUUUGUCUAAUUGAGUCAAACUCUCCUAUCCCUUUAUUUUGUCUGCAUGAGUCUUGUCUGUUUGUUCUGUUGCUAUUUCAGUGUCUGGGUUAUUUCACGGUUGUAGUUCGGAUUUUAGGUUGUUUUUCUUAUUUUCAAACCCUUCCAUUCUUAUUCACUAAAAUACAGCUUUCUGUGUCAUUCUGUGCUUAGUUUCUUUCCGCUAGUUUUAGUGAGAUGAUAUGCAUGCAGAAUUGUUGGCCAGGUCUUAGAAAAUUUAUUUGAGCUUGAAUUGGAUAACUGGAAACAAGAAACUUUUGAGGAUGAAAAAGAGUUGAAAUACCUUGGAAUUAAGUCCGAGGAAGAUUCAAGUGGAACUAGAAUAGUCAUACCCGUAGAGGUUAAGAAUCUUUACCUUCAAAAUCAUUGUAAAGGUCGGGCUUGAGGAAAAUCAAUUGAAGUUUGUUAGAAAGUUUGACAUUAAAGGAUUAAAAGUGUCUUGUAACCACGACACACCAAUAAGAUAGACAUGUUCAUCAAUGUUGUGAUAGCAAAAAAGAUAAUAUGUUUGGCGUUACUUGAGGUUGAGAGGCCUUUUUUACGCUACGCAAACACUUCGUACCCUUUGUUACCCCUUUUGAGCCUACGUUAUUUUCUUUGACCACCCUCUUUUGGAAUCGGGUUUAAAGUCAAAAAUGAAUAAUAAAAGAACUAUCAAAGGUCCAUGCCCCCUGAAAAUAGAAGAUGGGGCAACUUCUUUCAAAAACAAAAAGAAAAAAGAAAGGAAAAAGAAAUAGAAAGAAGAUGAAACAAAUUAAUUAGCUCAAAUGUUUGAACUACGUUUGACCUGAUUCCUUAAAAAAUGGUACGUAAGCAGCCUUGUGGUUUGGUUCAACCAAAUAAGAAUUCGAAAAAAAUUCAAAAAUCUCUAGUGUUUGAAACUGCGGAAAAAAAUUUAUUCCUUUUUUGAAAGAGUCGAUUCCAAGAGUUGUAAGUCUACAACCCCCUCAGUUUGAGUCGACUUUAAGCAUUCAUGCCGUCUUUUCUUUCCAACCCUAUCCAAGAACCUUCAAAAUAAAGACCUCCUCAUCGUUCUCCAAGAAUGACAACAAAAGCAUGAAUGAGCAACGAUUGUCACACAAUAUAGAACACUAUCAAGUUGCUCACAAUAAAAGGAAAGAAAAAUAAAAAUAAAAAUGAAAGAGUCUUACUAGUGAAAAUCCCCACGGGCACUGUAAGUUGACGAACAAUCCCGACUUGAAAGUUUAUAAGAAUUGCAAAAGGUAAUAUUGGAUUAGUUUGAUAGGCUAUGUCGUUGAGUCAAAAAUGCAUGCCAUGAUUAUUAAGCCUAGUUAUUGAAAAAAGGAAAAAAGCACUUCCUUCUAUCCUUCCGACAGGAGCAUUUCUUAUUAAUACUUGUUUCUUUGUAUUAUUGUGUCCUUCACUUUGAGUUGAUCCUUGUCAAAACAAGCAAGAAAAGAUUUUAAAAUCUGCUACCAGCUUUUAUUGCACAAAGUAAAUUUGGCCAGCAUACUCAGUUGUUACUGUCGAUAUACCUUGAGGAUUCAUGCAAAGGCUCCCCUAAAAAAGACACUUCUCAGACAACUUGGAGCAAGCAAAGAUAACUGGUGAUUCUCUCAAGAUAUCAGAAAAAGUCACCUAAGCAAAGAUUUCCCGUUGGGAUAAAGCUGAUUGAGCCACAAAUACAAAUGGUGCUGGGUGUGAAAAAUUUAGGGUUGAUUCAGAGGAAAAGUUUCUUAAAACCAACUCAAACUGAUUGAACAGAAGCCAAGUUGCCCAAGACUCAAGGCAUCAAACCGACCACCACUUUUAAAACUGAGAAAUUUUUCUUUGUGAAACGGGAACAAAGUAGUGCAAGGAAAGUGGUUCUAAAAAAUAAAUUUAAAAAAACAAAAAAAAAAAGAGGAAAAAGAAAAGAAGAGAAGAGUCGACAAAGGGAAGUUUCUCAAAUCUUUGCCUUUAAUUGUCUCGUUGUUGUGCAUAAAAUCUUGUCAUUGAUCUUCACACUUUCCUCAUAGGGUAAAAAGUCCUAGUCUUAUGUAUUUUCCACCCGAUAAAAAAUCCUAGUCUGAUGAAUCUUUCUCCUAGGAUAAAUAUCUUUGUUUGAUGAAUUUUUAUCCUAAGAUAGGAAACUUAGUCAGAUGAAUUUUUUCCUUAGGAUAUAAAUCUUAGGCUGAUGAAUCUUUAUCCUGAGAAAACAAAACAAGAGGGGGAUGGGGGACCUAGUCUGAUGAAUUUUUUCUUAGGAUCAAAAUCUUAGUAUGAUGAAUCUUUCUCCUAAGAUAGAAGACCUAGUCGGAUGAACUUGCUCCUAAUAUAGAAAUCUUAGUCUGAUGAAUUUUUUUCCUAAGAUAGAACACCUAGUGUGAUAAACUUUCUCCUAGGAUAGAAAUCUUAGUCCGACGAAUCUUUCUCCUAAGAUACCAAAAAAGAAAAGUGACCUAGUCUGAUGAACUUUCUCCUAGGAUCGAAAUCUUAGUUUGCUGAAUCUUUCUCCUAAGGUAAGACACAUCGUCUGAUAAACUUUCUCCUAGGAUCAAAACCUUAGUUUGAUGAAUCUUACUCCUGAGAUAGAAAACCUAGUCUGAUGAAUUUUCUCCUAGGAUAAUAAUUUUUUUUAUAAGAAAAGGGAAGUCUAGAUUUGGAAAAAAGGGGGUCAAUUUCUAGUUUUCUUAAGUUAAUAAUUUUUAGUCUUCUUGAAAUCAGAGGUCUCGUCUGGAGAAUAGGGUCAAUGUUUACUUUAAUCAAGCAUAUUUUAUAGUGUUUCGCAGGCUCAAUCUUAAAUCUAAGAGACACACUUCCUAGUCUGGGUCAUUUAGUUUUUUUAGCAGAUACAUUUGCUAGUCGAAAUUUUCUUGAUUUUACUCACAGGAGACACACUUCAUAGUCGAGACUCCAAUUUUACUCUCAUCAGUAGCAUAGGUGAUUUAUAGUUCUUCUAACAACUCACAAAUCUUCCUAGUGCAAACGGAGGCAGAAAAGUUUCUUUUGUUUUAUUUGUUUUGUUGUAGUAGUAGGCACCCACCUGAAGAAAAAGGGAAUUUAUUUCAGUCAUUUGAAGUUUCAAGUCGGUAGCAGGUGCCCACCUUGAGAAUAAGAGAAUUAAUUUCAAGUUGGAGUCAAAGACAGCAGGAUCCCUCCUGAAGAAUAAGGGCUACCUCCCGUCCUAUUCAAGUUAGAAGUAGCAAAAGCUCGCCUCAAGAAUGCAGGUCGAAAGGGGUCCGAGAUAACCAAAAAGAAUUCUCAUUCAAGAAUAAAAGAAAAAAAAAUGAAUCCAAAGUGCAGAAGUUGAUAAAAGAUGUGGACUGCUCAAGACAUAAUUAAAGUCACAAGCUCUGCUUGUCUCGUCUUGAUCUAAAAAAGCUUAAGAAGAUUGAACCAACACCUGCAACUAACAAGCAUCAAGGUUUAGAUCAAAGUCCACAUGAAGAACCAACCAAGACUCAAGAUCAAGCUUCAGAAGACUUAUAGAUAGGAAUAUUGUAACUCGUAGUUGAUAGACUUAGUUAGUCUUUUUUUAAUUUUGAUUUUGAUGUAAUAACGGGACCGCAGACCAGAACCCCGAUGACACCUCAAGAGGCCCAAACUUUACAAAAAUACAGGCUGAAGGUAGAAGACCCAUAAUCGAGCCUAAAUGAAAACAAACUGACAUACAAACCAAAGAGAUAUGCCAAAUGAACUUGAUCGUCAAUAUCUAACAGCUUGACAUACAUGAAAUAUUAAUUGCUUUCAAAAACCAUCUUACAUUCGUUCCUUGCUAUCCAAUCCCAAUUUUAUGUUAAAUACUGAUAUUAUCAAAAAUAAAGCACACCAUAUAAAACUCAUCACUUAAUGCAAACCUUAAUGCGGUACAUCAUAUCUAAGCCCAUACUAAGCCCAUAUGGAUUGAUUUUAUGAAAACCUUCAGCAUUAAUCUCCUGGAUUCCUCUUCCUUAGUAUUCGUGUCCUAAUUUACACAUGCCGACAUAUUUAAGCACAGAAUAUAAACCAACGUAUGUUGAAUCUUCAUGCAUCAGCCUUCAAAUACUGCACAUAAUCACUAUUGUAGAAGAAAUUGUGUAUUCCUUUUCAAAGAGAAUGUGACAGCAUAUCCAACAGUCAACAUACACAAUAGAUUUCAACCAUUUUACAGGCUAACAUACUACCUUUAAACACCUAUUCCACCAUUACAAACACAACCUUAGGCUAAUAACAUAAAUAAGCAAGCAAUCUCAUGAAGCAAAGCUGAAUUACUAAAGAAUUAAAGGAGUUUAAUGACAUAAAAUGACAUUUGAUAAACAACAUGUCAUGAAACUUUCCAUCAGAUUAUGUAACUUCAGAUUUCCAACUCUUACACAUCUAGGGAUCUAGAAAGUACCUAGAAAUUACAAAAGGAAGAAGAGGUGAAAGCGAUGAAUAGCAACAUCAGGACAACAAUGAGACAAUAUCAGCAGAAAUCAACUCCACCAGCAAAAGAAUUGUAAGCCACCACCAAACUCAAGUAAAAAAAUUCUUUAACCAACAGAUUCAGUCCAUUUGUGAAGUCCAAACCAAUAAAAUGACAAAUCCUAGAGAAUCAGCCCCAAUUUCUAACUCAAACCAUUUUCAAACUCCAAAUGAAUCACAAGUUGCUUCAGAGGCUGAAAAUUUCAGGAAUCAAAGAAGGAAAUUCAAUAGAACAAUAUUUUUCUCUCAAAAGUUCUAGUUGUCUGUAUUUUGUAUUUUCAGCUCUUAAGUUCUCUGCCUUGAAAGGCAAGGUAAAGAUGCCUUUAUAGGCAAACAAAUAGGGCAGACCUAAAAGUUCAGUUUUGCACUUCUAGUACCUCUCUAAUUUUAUUUUUUGCUUAAUCUAAGAAGCUUCCUAAACAGUUAACAAAGAUUUCCUCACCUAAAUUCCCUAAAUUACCCCUGAAACCUUGUUAAUUAACCCAAAAGCCCAAACGGGUCAACUGGCUAAGCUAAAUGGGUUGUAGCCCCCAAAUUGGAUCCUUAUUUGGGCAUGUUGCUAUUUAUCAACCAACUAAGAAUACUUAGGGGCUCCGGAAUAAAACUAACCUAGAAUUUUCCCCAAAUGAAGAAAACCCAAACCCAAUUCUGUGAAAGCAAACUGAAACAAAAGCAAAAAAUGAAUGAAUUAACCACUAUAAUUUCAUAAUAACAAUUAACUAAUCAUUGACCUAAUUUUAUUAGCUAGAUGAUUUAACUAACGAUGAGACAACAAUUAGCUAUUAACAUAGAGAUUAAAACCAAGAGAAGAAAGUGUAUUAAAAGGAACUGAGAUAUUAUAGCUAACAAAGAAAAAAACGAGGAACCAGUUUGAACUACAGAAUACCCAAACAACAUUUGGACCAAUCCAAACAGAAGGGGAUGAGGAGGAAAAUGAACCACGGAAAGGAAAUCAAUCAAGAGAGGAAGAAAAACUUACCCAGUCACGCUCGAAUGAGGUCGCUUUUGAUAAAUCAAUAGGUUUUUAGUCUUGCAUAAGGCUGGUGGACUUCUUCAAAUUAUUGACCCGAAUAGCCCUUAAUCGUGUGUUUCCAUGUGAAAACACACGAAAAAAGGCCGUUACAGUCCAAAUUAUUCAAAAAACCGAUGAUUUGCACUUUGGUUUUUUAGGGUUCCUAUAUUCAAAUCAAGAUUCGAGAAGAUGCGGGAAGAUUCGAAGGAAAUGAAGUAUAUUUAUCGAAUGAGGGGGAGACGGGGGUUCAGGGUUGUUAAUUUGGUGGUAACUAGGACUGGUGCCGUCACCUUAAGGCGGUGGAAACAGAGGCGGCGGGCCAGGGUUUUUGGAUGGUCUCUGAGAUAGAGAGGAGUGAAGCAGACGAUGUAGAGGGGGAGAGUGAUUUAGACACUUAAUAUUUAAGUGUCCCCC